Molecule: ribosomal RNA, 202 nt
Filed under: uncultured bacterium
Lineage: Bacteria
Description: partial 16S ribosomal RNA
Rfam family: Bacterial small subunit ribosomal RNA
Source: RNAcentral
GACGAACGCUGGCGGCGUGCUUAACACAUGCAAGUCGAGCGGUAAGGCCCUUUCGGGGGUACACGAGCGGCGAACGGGUGAGUAACACGUGGGUGACCUGCCCUUAGCUCUGGGAUAAGCCUGGGAAACUGGGUCUAGUACCGGAUAUGACUCCAUGACGCAUGUUGUGGGGUGGAAAGCCUUGUGCGGCUAGGGGAUGGGG